GUUUAGAACGUCGUGAGACAGUUCGGUCCCUAUCUGCUGUGGGUGUCGGAAACUUGAGAGGACCUGUCCCUAGUACGAGAGGACCGGGAUGGACGAACCUCUGGUGUACCGGUUGUGCCGCCAGGCGCAGCGCCGGGUAGCUAUGUUCGGACGAGAUAACCGCUGAAAGCAUCUAAGCGGGAAGCUCCCCUCAAAACGAGGUUUCCCUUGAGAGACGUGGUAGACCACCACGUUGAUAGGGGGCAUGUGGAAGCACGGUAACGUGCGCAGCUAAGCCCUACUAAUCACUCGAUCGGCUUGAUCUG
RNAcentral lists this ribosomal RNA (305 nucleotides) under Rhodospirillales bacterium. RNAcentral describes it as "partial 23S ribosomal RNA". It matches the Rfam family "Bacterial large subunit ribosomal RNA", at positions 2609 to 2925 of the family's 2925-position model. The record is from RNAcentral. Lineage: Bacteria; Pseudomonadati; Pseudomonadota; Alphaproteobacteria; Rhodospirillales.